GAAUCUGGGGCCACUGCCAGCUUCUCUCUGCUAUGAUGUUACCAAGCCUCCAGGAAGCUAGACUCACAUGCACCUUCACCCUUUUUGGAACAAGAUGUCAAGGGGGCAGCUAGGUUUCAUUUCCCAGGCUCUCUUGGAGUUAAGUGGGACUAAGAAUUGAGUUCCAGUCCACAGAAUGAGAGACUCCCAAGAGAUGUCCUGGGGAGUCCACCACAGCUUCCCCUAUUAGAGGACUGAAUGCAGAAGGGAGGGGGGAUCCUAAAAAUCACAUUGUAAUUGGACGAGUGCUCAACCUCACACUACUGGAUUAUGUUGAGAGUCAUAUACAUCUAUAGUGAGACGCCACUGUUAUGUAGACAACUUUCAUUACAGUUAUGCCUCGAGAUAUAGAGGGCUAGAGUCUAAAAGCACAC
RNAcentral lists this long non-coding RNA (413 nucleotides) under Mus pahari (shrew mouse). RNAcentral describes it as "lncRNA (MGP_PahariEiJ_G0003236.1)". The record is from RNAcentral. Lineage: Eukaryota; Metazoa; Chordata; Mammalia; Rodentia; Muridae.